AGAGUUUGAUCAUGGCUCAGGGCGAACGCUGGCGGCGUGCUUAACACAUGCAAGUCGAGUGCGCGUUUCCGUAGCAAUACGGAAAUGGCGCACGGCGCACGGGUGCGUAACACGUGGGUAAUCUGCCCUCUGAUGGGGAAUAACCCGCCGAAAGGCGGGCUAAUACCGCAUAACAUUCCUUGGACUCCGGUUCGAGGAUUCAAAGGCGCAAGUCGUCGGAGGUGGAGCCCGCGCACGAUUAGCUAGUUGGUAGGGUAAUGGCCUACCAAGGCUUUGAUCGUUAGCUGGUCUGAGAGGAUGGCCAGCCACACUGGAACUGAGACACGGUCCAGACUCCUACGGGAGGCAGCAGUGGGGAAUCUUGCACAAUGGGCGAAAGCCUGAUGCAGCGACGCCGCGUGGGGGAUGAAGCUUCUCGGAGUGUAAACCCCUUUCGACCGGGACGAAUGCCCGCAAGGGACUGACGGUACCGGUAUAAGAAGCCCCGGCUAACUACGUGCCAGCAGCCGCGGUAAGACGUAGGGGGCCAGCGUUGCUCGGAAUUACUGGGUGUAAAGGGUUCGUAGGCGGUGUGGCAAGUCGGGAGUGAAAUCUCUGGGCUUAACUCAGGGGCUGCUUCCGAAACUGCCGUGCUAGAGUGUGGGAGAGGCGCGUGGAAUUGCAGGUGUAGCGGUGAAAUGCGUAGAUAUCUGCAGGAACACCCGUGGCGAAAGCGGCGCGCUGGACCACUACUGACGCUGAGGAACGAAAGCUAGGGGAGCAAACAGGAUUAGAUACCCCUGUAGUCC
RNAcentral lists this ribosomal RNA (788 nucleotides) under uncultured bacterium. Its description in RNAcentral is "bacterial SSU rRNA". It matches the Rfam family "Bacterial small subunit ribosomal RNA", at positions 8 to 796 of the family's 1533-position model. The record is from RNAcentral.